This 1006-nucleotide long non-coding RNA is filed under the name Marmota monax (woodchuck). Lineage: Eukaryota; Metazoa; Chordata; Mammalia; Rodentia; Sciuridae. The record is from RNAcentral.
UGUAGAAAAGACCUCAGAAUGUGUAUUUUAAAUAAAAAUUUAAGAAUUAUGCCUUAAGAAUUAAGAAUCGACCUACUUGUGACACUUAAACUUUUUCUUAGGUUUAUUCCCCUAAUUGCCUUGUUUUAAAAGUAUGUACUUCUUGACCAUAGCCAUGAACAGUGUCAGGGAGGCAUGCACCCAUAUGAAGCGCAAGUCCAACCAAUGCUUCAGUUGCUGUUUUGCUGAGAAAUUCCUCAAGGGAGACAGCUCCAGGGUCCAGUGCACGGAUCUCUUCAAUUGCUACCGGUAGCAUGUUCAGAAAGCAAUGAAAGAGAAAGAGAGUCCCAUUGAAGAACUGGAAUUCAUGGGCCAUGGCAAAGAAAAGCCUGAAAGCUCUUCUUGACCUUGACUGUUAACCUUGAAAAUGAAUUCUAGGGCUGCAGUAGUAGCUCAGUGGUAGAGUGCCUGCCUAGUACAUGUGAGGCAAUGGGUUUGAACCUCAGCACAAGAAAGAAAGAAAGAGAGAAAGAGAGAAAGAAAGAAGAAAGAAAGAAAUUGUAUCCAUCUACAACUGAAGAAAGAAAGAGAGAAAGGAAGAAAGAAAGAAAAAGGAUUCCUAUAUUAGGAAAUUGAGGGCUCUGGAUUUUGUCCACCAAGGCUGUGAAGAUAGCUGUGGGAUUUGAUGGAGUUUCAGAGGGAGCUGUGUUUUUCUUCCUUCUGAAGUUUUCCUCUCACUUUUAAAAGAUGAUGAACCACUCCCUUCUUUGAGGCAAUUUCUCAUUUGCAGACCCUUAGUGUGUUAAAAUUGAACAAUUUCUUGGUAUUAUGGUUGCAAUAGGUAGUUUGGAAUCAACUUUGAAUAUAUCUUGUAUAUGAAUAAUAAUAAACUACUUAUUGUGAUCAGAGUUGCCUGAUUUCUUGGUGUUUGCUGCAAAGGACAUUAUGUACACUGAAUUGGGGUCAUUAUUAUGAGAGCAAUUGGUUAGGACUUCUCUUUUCUCUCAGGAGCUAAUGCUUUAAAAAG